This 1663-nucleotide ribosomal RNA is filed under the name Escherichia coli. RNAcentral describes it as "partial 23S ribosomal RNA". It matches the Rfam family "Bacterial large subunit ribosomal RNA", at positions 1273 to 2915 of the family's 2925-position model. Lineage: Bacteria; Pseudomonadati; Pseudomonadota; Gammaproteobacteria; Enterobacterales; Enterobacteriaceae. The record is from RNAcentral.
CUGGAGGUAUCAGAAGUGCGAAUGCUGACAUAAGUAACGAUAAAGCGGGUGAAAAGCCCGCUCGCCGGAAGACCAAGGGUUCCUGUCCAACGUUAAUCGGGGCAGGGUGAGUCGACCCCUAAGGCGAGGCCGAAAGGCGUAGUCGAUGGGAAACAGGUUAAUAUUCCUGUACUUGGUGUUACUGCGAAGGGGGGACGGAGAAGGCUAUGUUGGCCGGGCGACGGUUGUCCCGGUUUAAGCGUGUAGGCUGGUUUUCCAGGCAAAUCCGGAAAAUCAAGGCUGAGGCGUGAUGACGAGGCACUACGGUGCUGAAGCAACAAAUGCCCUGCUUCCAGGAAAAGCCUCUAAGCAUCAGGUAACAUCAAAUCGUACCCCAAACCGACACAGGUGGUCAGGUAGAGAAUACCAAGGCGCUUGAGAGAACUCGGGUGAAGGAACUAGGCAAAAUGGUGCCGUAACUUCGGGAGAAGGCACGCUGAUAUGUAGGUGAGGUCCCUCGCGGAUGGAGCUGAAAUCAGUCGAAGAUACCAGCUGGCUGCAACUGUUUAUUAAAAACACAGCACUGUGCAAACACGAAAGUGGACGUAUACGGUGUGACGCCUGCCCGGUGCCGGAAGGUUAAUUGAUGGGGUCAGCGCAAGCGAAGCUCUUGAUCGAAGCCCCGGUAAACGGCGGCCGUAACUAUAACGGUCCUAAGGUAGCGAAAUUCCUUGUCGGGUAAGUUCCGACCUGCACGAAUGGCGUAAUGAUGGCCAGGCUGUCUCCACCCGAGACUCAGUGAAAUUGAACUCGCUGUGAAGAUGCAGUGUACCCGCGGCAAGACGGAAAGACCCCGUGAACCUUUACUAUAGCUUGACACUGAACAUUGAGCCUUGAUGUGUAGGAUAGGUGGGAGGCUUUGAAGUGUGGACGCCAGUCUGCAUGGAGCCGACCUUGAAAUACCACCCUUUAAUGUUUGAUGUUCUAACGUUGACCCGUAAUCCGGGUUGCGGACAGUGUCUGGUGGGUAGUUUGACUGGGGCGGUCUCCUCCUAAAGAGUAACGGAGGAGCACGAAGGUUGGCUAAUCCUGGUCGGACAUCAGGAGGUUAGUGCAAUGGCAUAAGCCAGCUUGACUGCGAGCGUGACGGCGCGAGCAGGUGCGAAAGCAGGUCAUAGUGAUCCGGUGGUUCUGAAUGGAAGGGCCAUCGCUCAACGGAUAAAAGGUACUCCGGGGAUAACAGGCUGAUACCGCCCAAGAGUUCAUAUCGACGGCGGUGUUUGGCACCUCGAUGUCGGCUCAUCACAUCCUGGGGCUGAAGUAGGUCCCAAGGGUAUGGCUGUUCGCCAUUUAAAGUGGUACGCGAGCUGGGUUUAGAACGUCGUGAGACAGUUCGGUCCCUAUCUGCCGUGGGCGCUGGAGAACUGAGGGGGGCUGCUCCUAGUACGAGAGGACCGGAGUGGACGCAUCACUGGUGUUCGGGUUGUCAUGCCAAUGGCACUGCCCGGUAGCUAAAUGCGGAAGAGAUAAGUGCUGAAAGCAUCUAAGCACGAAACUUGCCCCGAGAUGAGUUCUCCCUGACCCUUUAAGGGUCCUGAAGGAACGUUGAAGACGACGACGUUGAUAGGCCGGGUGUGUAAGCGCAGCGAUGCGUUGAGCUAACCGGUACUAAUGAACCGUGAGG